UACGUAGGUGGCAAGCGUUGUCCGGAAUUAUUGGGGGUAAAGCGCGCGCAGGUGGUUCCUUAAGUCUGAUGUGAAAGCCCACGGCUCAACCGUGGAGGGUCAUUGGAAACUGGGGAACUUGAGUGCAGAAGAGGAAAGUGGAAUUCCACGUGUAGCGGUGAAAUGCGUAGAGAUGUGGAGGAACACCAGUGGCGAAGGCGACUUUCUGGUCUGUAACUGACACUCAGACACGAAAGCUAGGGUAGCAAACGGG
Molecule: unclassified non-coding RNA, 253 nt
Filed under: uncultured Bacillaceae bacterium
Lineage: Bacteria; Bacillati; Bacillota; Bacilli; Caryophanales; Bacillaceae
Description: contains 16S-23S intergenic spacer region
Rfam family: Bacterial small subunit ribosomal RNA
Source: RNAcentral